This 514-nucleotide ribosomal RNA is filed under the name Salmonella enterica. RNAcentral's name for it is "partial 23S ribosomal RNA". It matches the Rfam family "Bacterial large subunit ribosomal RNA", at positions 1243 to 1757 of the family's 2925-position model. RNAcentral also lists the same sequence under 2 other names. The record is from RNAcentral. Lineage: Bacteria; Pseudomonadati; Pseudomonadota; Gammaproteobacteria; Enterobacterales; Enterobacteriaceae.
UAAGCCUGUGAAGGUGGCCUGUGAGGGUUGCUGGAGGUAUCAGAAGUGCGAAUGCUGACAUAAGUAACGAUAAAGCGGGUGAAAAGCCCGCUCGCCGGAAGACCAAGGGUUCCUGUCCAACGUUAAUCGGGGCAGGGUGAGUCGACCCCUAAGGCGAGGCCGAAAGGCGUAGUCGAUGGGAAACGGGUUAAUAUUCCCGUACUUGGUGUUACUGCGAAGGGGGGACGGAGAAGGCUAUGUUGGCCGGGCGACGGUUGUCCCGGUUUAAGCGUGUAGGUGUGUGUUCCAGGUAAAUCCGGUUCACUUUAACACUGAGGCGUGAUGACGAGGCACUACGGUGCUGAAGUAACAAAUGCCCUGCUUCCAGGAAAAGCCUCUAAGCAUCAGGUAACAUCAAAUCGUACCCCAAACCGACACAGGUGGUCAGGUAGAGAAUACCAAGGCGCUUGAGAGAACUCGGGUGAAGGAACUAGGCAAAAUGGUGCCGUAACUUCGGGAGAAGGCACGCUGACAC